RNAcentral lists this ribosomal RNA (256 nucleotides) under uncultured Gardnerella sp. RNAcentral's name for it is "partial 16S ribosomal RNA". It matches the Rfam family "Bacterial small subunit ribosomal RNA", at positions 99 to 355 of the family's 1533-position model. Lineage: Bacteria; Bacillati; Actinomycetota; Actinomycetes; Bifidobacteriales; Bifidobacteriaceae. The record is from RNAcentral.
CGAACGGGUGAGUAAUGCGUGACCAACCUGCCCCAUGCUCCAGAAUAGCUCUUGGAAACGGGUGGUAAUGCUGGAUGCUCCAACUUGACGCAUGUCUUGUUGGGAAAGUGUUUAGUGGCAUGGGAUGGGGUCGCGUCCUAUCAGCUUGUAGGCGGGGUAAUGGCCCACCUAGGCUUCGACGGGUAGCCGGCCUGAGAGGGCGGACGGCCACAUUGGGACUGAGAGACGGCCCAGACUCCUACGGGAGGCAGCAGUU